GACGAACGCUGGCGGCGUGCUUAACACAUGCAAGUCGAACGGAAAGGCCCUGCUUUUGUGGGGUGCUCGAGUGGCGAACGGGUGAGUAACACGUGAGUAACCUGCCCUUGACUUUGGGAUAACUUCAGGAAACUGGGGCUAAUACCGGAUAGGAGCUCCUGCUGCAUGGUGGGGGUUGAAAGUUUCGGCGGUUGGGGAUGGACUCGCGGCUUAUCAGCUUGUUGGUGGGGUAGUGGCUUACCAAGGCUUUGACGGGUAGCCGGCCUGAGAGGGUGACCGGCCACAUUGGGACUGAGAUACGGCCCAGACUCCUACGGGAGGCAGCAGUGGGGAAUAUUGCACAAUGGGCGGAAGCCUGAUGCAGCAACGCCGCGUGCGGGAUGAAGGCCUUCGGGUUGUAAACCGCUUUCGCCUGUGACGAAGCGUGAGUGACGGUAAUGGGUAAAGAAGCACCGGCUAACUACGUG
This 467-nucleotide ribosomal RNA is filed under the name uncultured bacterium. RNAcentral's name for it is "partial 16S ribosomal RNA". It matches the Rfam family "Bacterial small subunit ribosomal RNA", at positions 28 to 507 of the family's 1533-position model. The record is from RNAcentral.